UACGUAGGGUGCGAGCGUUAAUCGGAAUUACUGGGCGUAAAGCGUGCGCAGGCGGUUCGCCAAGUCAGGUGUGAAAUCCCCGGGCUUAACCUGGGAAUUGCGCUUGAAACUAGCGGGCUUGAGUGUGGCAGAGGGGGGUGGAAUUCCACGUGUAGCAGUGAAAUGCGUAGAGAUGUGGAGGAACACCGAUGGCGAAGGCAGCCCCCUGGGUCAACGCUGACGCUCAUGCACGAAAGCGUGGGGAGCAAACAGG
This 253-nucleotide ribosomal RNA is filed under the name uncultured bacterium. RNAcentral describes it as "partial 16S ribosomal RNA". It matches the Rfam family "Bacterial small subunit ribosomal RNA", at positions 524 to 776 of the family's 1533-position model. The record is from RNAcentral.